Molecule: ribosomal RNA, 253 nt
Filed under: uncultured bacterium
Lineage: Bacteria
Description: partial 16S ribosomal RNA
Rfam family: Bacterial small subunit ribosomal RNA
Source: RNAcentral
AACGUAGGGGACAAGCGUUAUCCGGAUUUACUGGGCGUAAAGCGCCCGUAGGCGGCCUGCCAAGUUGGACGUGAAAGCUCCUGGCUUAACUGGGAGAGGCCGUUCAAAACUGUCAAGCUAGAGUCUGGAAGAGGAGAGCGGAAUUCCCGGUGUGGUGGUGAAAUGCGUAGAGAUGUGGAGGAACACCAGUGGCGAAGGCGGCUUUCUGGUCUGUAACUGACGCUGAGGCGCGAAAGCGUGGGGAGCAAACAGG